RNAcentral lists this ribosomal RNA (379 nucleotides) under Rhagovelia tenuipes. RNAcentral's name for it is "partial 16S ribosomal RNA". Lineage: Eukaryota; Metazoa; Arthropoda; Insecta; Hemiptera; Veliidae. The record is from RNAcentral.
CGGUCUGCCCGUUGAUUUGAAAUUGAAAGGCUGCGGUAUUUUAACUGUACGAAGGUAGCAUAAUCACUUGUCUUUUAAUUGAAGGCUAGUAUGAAUGGUUUGAUGAAAAAUUUUCUUUCUUUAUUUAAUUUAUUUGAAUUUAAUUUUUUAAUUAAAAAGUUAAAAUUUUUUUAUAGGACGAGAAGACCCUAUAGAAAUUUAUUUUUUAUAUAGAUUUUUCUUUUUAGUUUUUAAAAGUUUAAUUUAGAAUAAAAAAUUUUGUUGGGGUGACAAUAAAAUUUUUAUAACUUUUAUUAAUUUUUUCCAUUAAUUUAUGUGAUGAUCCAGUUUUAUUGAUUAUAAGAUUAAUUUACUUUAGGGAUAACAGCGUAAUUUUUUA